Molecule: long non-coding RNA, 490 nt
Filed under: Prunus dulcis (almond)
Lineage: Eukaryota; Viridiplantae; Streptophyta; Magnoliopsida; Rosales; Rosaceae
Description: sRNA ncRNA
Source: RNAcentral
AUGGAAGCUAAUAAUGGAAUAUUAGUUCACAUGGAAACUGAUUCGGAAACAAAUCCUUCUGUAUCAAUUUUCUAUCCUCAAGUAAUUGGUGAGCUCACUCCCUUCCAAGGUCAACAAUUUGAAACAUUAGAAGAAGUGUAUGACUUUUACAAUCAGUAUGCAAGGGAAGCUGGGUUUAGUGUUCGAUCAUACUCUAGUAAGAAGAGUAAAGACGUAGAGGUCAUACGAAAAGAGUACGUUUGCAAUAAAGAGGGAAGUUGGUCAACUGAAACAAACGGUGUUGUAAAAAGGCGUCGUGGAGUAGGUAGAGAGUCUUGUAAGGCACGGCUAAUAGUUGUUAAAUCAAAAUAUGGUGGAUACGUAGUCACCAUAUUUGAAGAGGCUCAUACUCAUCCAAUGACAACCCCACGAAGACGCCACUUAUUAAAGUCUCAUCGUCGAAUUUCUAGUGUUGAUCAACUUGUAGCACAACAACUAAUAUCCGUAAAUG